UGGGGAAUAUUGCACAAUGGGCGCAAGCCUGAUGCAGCCAUGCCGCGUGUGUGAAGAAGGCCUUCGGUUGUAAGCACUUUCAGCGAGGAGGAAGGUGGUGAGCUUAAUACGCUCAUCAAUUGACGUUACUCGCAGAAGAAGCACCGGCUAACUCCGUGCCAGCAGCCGCGGUAAUACGGAGGGUGCAAGCGUUAAUCGGAAUUACUGGGCGUAAAGCGCACGCAGGCGGUUUGUUAAGUCAGAUGUGAAAUCCCCGGGCUCAACCUGGGAACUGCAUUUGAAACUGGCAAGCUAGAGUCUCGUAGAGGGGGGUAGAAAUUCCAGGUGUAGCGGUGAAAUGCGUAGAGAUCUGGAGGAAUACCGGUGGCGAAGGCGGCCCCCUGGACGAAGACUGACGCUCAGGUGCGAAAGCGUGGGGAGC
Molecule: ribosomal RNA, 421 nt
Filed under: uncultured bacterium
Lineage: Bacteria
Description: partial 16S ribosomal RNA
Rfam family: Bacterial small subunit ribosomal RNA
Source: RNAcentral